UACAGAGGGUGCGAGCGUUAAUCGGAAUUACUGGGCGUAAAGCGCGCGUAGGCGGCUUUGCAAGUCGGGUGUGAAAUCCCCAGGCUUAACCUGGGAACUGCAUUCGAGACUGCAUUGCUAGAGUAUGGGAGAGGGAAGUGGAAUUUCCGGUGUAGCGGUGAAAUGCGUAGAUAUCAGGAGGAACACCAAUGGCGAAGGCAGAUCUCUGGGCCGUAACUGACGCUGAGGAGCGAAAGCAUGGGGAGCGAACAGG
This 253-nucleotide ribosomal RNA is filed under the name uncultured bacterium. Its description in RNAcentral is "partial 16S ribosomal RNA". It matches the Rfam family "Bacterial small subunit ribosomal RNA", at positions 524 to 776 of the family's 1533-position model. The record is from RNAcentral.